Molecule: ribosomal RNA, 253 nt
Filed under: uncultured bacterium
Lineage: Bacteria
Description: partial 16S ribosomal RNA
Rfam family: Bacterial small subunit ribosomal RNA
Source: RNAcentral
UACGGAGGAUCCAAGCGUUAUCCGGAAUCAUUGGGUUUAAAGGGUCCGUAGGCGGUUUUGUAAGUCAGUUGUGAAAGCCCAUCGCUCAACGGUGGAACGGCCAUUGAUACUGCAAGACUUGAAUUAUUAGGAAGUAACUAGAAUAUGUAGUGUAGCGGUGAAAUGCUUAGAGAUUACAUGGAAUACCAAUUGCGAAGGCAGGUUACUACUAGUGGAUUGACGCUGAUGGACGAAAGCGUGGGGAGCGAACAGG